Molecule: long non-coding RNA, 6258 nt
Filed under: Triticum aestivum (bread wheat)
Lineage: Eukaryota; Viridiplantae; Streptophyta; Magnoliopsida; Poales; Poaceae
Description: long non-coding RNA (TAES_LNC015233)
Source: RNAcentral
CCUGUUGUAUAACUUGUGUAAGUGUGCCAUUUGUGUGAGUGGGUUAAAUCCGAGUGAUUAGGAGUUUGUAAGUGUGGCGUGGUUGUGCAGGCUAACUGUGUAUCAUUCUCAGAGCUUGUUUGAACGGUGAAAGCCUCAGGUAUGUGAAGUAUUUACUUGAACGCUCUGGCAAAUUAUACAGUGCGUGUAUUUUCUGUUUCUCGCACCGAUUUGUAACUGCAGAAUCUAUGCGCUCCCUUGUGGAUGUGAUCUAUUUGUACCUGAUGAAUUUGCCGAUGUCUUUUUUUGUUGAAACGGAGGCAAAAGUUAAACCUCAUCCAUUGGAUAAGAGAGAUAGAGUUUGUUACAAGACACUGAAAUACACGACAUGCGGAUUACUCGCGCGCAAUAAAAUACCCUAGUUUCUUUGCUCCGGCAAUGACUCAAAGGUUUGCCUUGGUGGAGAUGGACGAAAGCAAGAUUGGCGGUGGGGCACUCUUAUGCUUAAGAACCCAUACGUUCCAAACUGUCGGCGCAAGUGUUUGCCCACCACUCUUCAACCAUGUCGAACAAGGGCCACCCAGAAGUGUCGAGCCCGAGCAUGGGAAAUUUCCCAAUGACCAAAGACCAAAGGCGCCGGGUGUAGCGACACUUGUAGAAGAGAUAGGGUCCGCAUUCUUGCACACUCUUGCAAAGAGGGCAAACAUCACAAUUUGGCCACCCUCGCUUUGCCAAUCUAUCCGGCGCCCAAAUUCUAUCUUGAAGGGCCAGCCAAGCAUUUUUUUUUACUUUUGGAGGUGCUCAAACCUUUCAAAUCAUCCUAUACAUGGGCGAAAGAACCAUCCCUAGGAAUUGCGCCUUGUAUGCGGAUACCGCCGAGUACUGCCCCCUACUCGUAUGCUUCCAAAUGAUUUCAUCCUCUGUGAGCUCGUCAAGGUGGAACUCAUUUAGUAGCAUCCAAAGAGUAUGUGUGAUGUGCUCGGCGGUGACAUUGAUGGGGGUUUUGAUCUUGAGGAUCCACGCGUUGUGCUUGAGGGCCUUCGUGACCUUCCAAAAAUUUCUCUUGGAAGCUUCAUAAAUGAGUCGGACAAUGUCUUUUGACGUAUGCCCAAGAAGCCAAGGAGAAUCCCAAAAGGAGGUGCUCGCGCCGUUACCAAUGGUGAUGGUGGUGGAAGCAUAGAAAAGUUGAGGUCCUCCGCAUCGCAUGGGUUUCCCAUCCCCACCCACAUCUUGGUGGGCUCUUUCCAUUCAUACCACGACCAACGUAACCGGAGAGCCCUCGUAAACUUGGCGGUGUUGAGGACCCCAAGCCCUCCAUACGAAAGUGGCCGACAAACUUUCUCCCAAUUCACCUUGCAUUUAGCCCCCGAUGCCUUGUCCGAAUCGGACCAUAGGAAAGCUCGUUCGAGCUUGUUGAUGUUGUGGAGGAUGGUUGGCGGGAUGACCAACGGGGUAGCGGGGUAGACCACUGGGGUCGUUCGCCCGCUGGUGGUGAUGUUUCGGCCAUCAUACGUUGGAAACUUGCUUGCCACUUUGUCCACGAGAAAUUGAAGGUCCAACAAUUUUAGCUUCCACACGAAGAGGGGGAGUCCCAAGUAUCGCAAAGGAAAAGACGCCCGCGCAGCCGACAAGCUUUGAGUUAGGUGACCCAAAUCAAGGUGGUUGCAACGAAUGGGCACCACCGAGCUCUUUUAGAAAUUGGUGCAAAGGCCCGUGACUUCCCCAAAACCCCUCAAAAUGCUUGCAAAGUUACCAACAUCCUGCUUGAUCGGGGCCAGAAAGACAGUCGCGUCGUCCGUGUAAGGAGAGGUCCUCAUCAUGGCCCCUCUUCCCUAGAUAUUAUGGAGGAUCCCCUUAUUUGUUGCCACAUAUAGAAUUUUUUGGAGCGGGUCGAUGGCGAUGACAAAGAGAAGCGGGGAUAUAUAUAUAGGGUCUCCCCGCCGAAGUCCCUGCCCAUGCUUUAUUGGACAGCCGACAAUACCAUUCAGGAUGACCCUCGAGGAUGAAGAGCUAAGGAGGGCCACGAUCCAAUCCUUGAAUUUACUUGAAAAUCCUCACCAUUGGAGGAGAUCAAGCAAGUACUCCCACUUCACGGAGUCGAAGGCCUUGCGGAUAUCGAGCUUGAAGAGGAGGGAUGGGGUCUUCCUCUUGUGAAGGUGCCGAGCAAGAUUGCGGGCAUACAAAAAAUUGCCGUGAAUGCUUCUUGUUUUGAUGAAGGCGCUUUGGGCGUUAGAGACGAGAUUUUUCAUAUGUGGGCCGAGCCUCAUGGAGAGCACCUUCGCAAUAAUCUUUGCGAUCGCGUGGAUGAGGCUAAUGAGUCUAUAGUCAGUGAUCCCCUCCCCCCCUUCCUUCUUGGGAAAGAGCACCACAUUUGCGCAGUUGAUCCACUGGAGAUUUGAGGUGUGCAGGGAGUCAAAAUGCAUAAUGACCCUCAUGAGGUCAGGCUUGAUGAUGUCCCAACACUUAUUGAAAAAGAGGCCCGUGAAUCCAUCCGGCCCCGGCGCCUUGUCAAUUGGCAUGUCGUUGAUCGCAUCAAGGACCUCACUCUCGACCAUUGGGGAGCCAAGACCAUGCAAGUCAAGAGGCUCCAAAUUUAGCUCAUCCAAAUUGAAAUCUUUGCAGCAUCGGGGACCUCUCUUCAUGACAUUGGAAAAAUGGUCAUGGAUUAGCUUUUCUUUGGCGUCGUGCUCAGUGACCCAGCUAUGCUCGUUCUUGAUUCUAUGGAUAUAAUUUUUUUCUCCGCCUUGCAUUGACUCGGCGGUGGAAGAAUUUUGUAGUAGCAUACCCUUCUUUAAGGUUGGAAAUUCUCUCACAUUGCUUCGUGCGUGAUCUUUCGAGCACAACCAAGGCGAUGACCCUUCUCUUGAGCCUAGCCCAGAGCUCAAGUUCCUCGCUGGAGAGCAGUCUAUCCUCUUGGGCGACGUUGAGGCGAAUGAUCACCAAAAGCGCGGCUUAGUGGUGGAUUUUAGCCUUGGAGAAAAGGCCCCUACUCCAUUAUGAGAGGCGGAGUGCCUUCUUCUUGAACUUGUGGUAGAGGAUUUGGUAUGGCUCAGUUGGUGCGUGACCAGAGCAUUGUUUUUGCCUUGCUCCUACAUUUGCUAUCUGGGAAGUUCUUCUAUUUUUCUGAUUUAGCCGGUAUCAGUCUAACUCAUUUUAUUUGUAGAGAAGCUAACACAUGACUUUGCAUAAACGGUCAUGUUUGUAGUUUUUUUAUUUGAUCAACGCAGACCUGAUGAACCAGCUUACACCAUGAAAAUGAAGGAUAAGGAGCUAUUACACUUGCUGGCUUGAGUAUAGUAGAGUGAAGAAAAAAAAGAGUUGGUGUGGGGGUUAGUAGGCGAACCCAUGCGCCACGGUGUAGGCCCUAAUGGCAGGACCGAAUCACCGUGGCAACCCAAGCGUGAGUGUGGGCUACGACUAGGGAACGUGUCCCGACAGCCUUAAUGCCUUAGGCAGCCAUAGGCCGCGCCUUGGGCCAAAAUCGACAGUCGACGUAGGUGCCCACAGAGUUUUCCGGACCCUAGUCUUCCACCAGGCACGGUCUUUACAUACCAGCAUGCCUUUUCAGUGUUAAAGUAUAUGUACAACGGUAAUCUACCGUGCACAACUUUGACACGGGCUAGCGAACCUAGCAACCCUCAGCACCAACUCUUUAGCCCUCCGAGGCUACAGUGACAGGCACGAGCCACCGCGCUCGGCUGUUGUGUGCGUCGGGAGGCAAGUAUUUAUGCCGGUGCGUGCGCGCUUCGGGUAGCGAGGUGGUACUAUUGUUUGAGUGGGUUCUCCAGCACGAACCUAGCAGGCCUAGCCGGGCCGCAUGAACACCUUGCAGCUUAGCCCUCCGAGGCUGGAGUGACAGGCGCGAGCCACCGCGCUCGGCUGUUGUGUGCGUCGGGAGGCAAGUAUUUAUGCCGGUGCGUGCGCGCUUCGGGUAGCGAGGUGGUACUAUUGUUUGAGUGGGUUCUCCAGCACGAACCUAGCAGGCCUAGCUGGGCCGCAUGAACACCUUGCAGCUUAGCUGGUUGUUGGUGUAGGGAUCAAACACGGUGGCAUAGGAAUCAAACACGCACCCUUCCAGAGCGCUAGCAUACUAUUGAUUGGGCCGCCCAGUAGGACUCUCUUGUUUUUCCCACCGGUUUUAGGAAUGUUGUCACAUACCGCUAAAAAAUAAAAGGAAUGUUGUCACAUCACAUUUCCCCCUCAAUUUUGGAAUGUUAAAGAAAUAAUAAGAGGGAAUUGAAACAUUUGAAAUUUUCUUAUGAUUCCUUGGUCCUAGCUAAUUUUGACUAGGAGUUGUUUGAAUUGAAUGAAAAUGUGGCUCAAAACAAUUUGGAAUUAUUUUGAACCUUCAAUUGUCACUUAGUGAUUAUUUAUAAAAUCAAAAUUGGGAUCACAAAAUGCUUGUGACCUUUGUUAAAUAUUUUCGGUUGGAAAUAAAUUCCAUACACCCCAAAUAUUACUGAAGUCGUAAAGAUGAAAUUGGGAUUAAAUUGAACCAUACAAGAAUUGAGGGAGUAAAACAAUGUCCCAAAUUAGGGUGACAAUUCAAGUAUUUAAUUUGUGCAUAAAGAUAUUUUUCAUAAGUCACAAAUAAUAUCUUGAGCCUUUGUUAUUUUUCCCAAAAGGAGUUGAGUGAAUUUGAUUUUUCAAUCAAUUCAAAAGUCAAAAGGGAAUUACUCGAAAUAAGGCUACAUAGUUUAUUUUGGCAGGAUAGUCAUUUCCAUAAGCCCUAAAUAUUGGCUUGAACUUGUGUAUAUUUUCCUAUUUGAAUAGGAGAAUAUUUGUUUUUUGAAUCAACUUAAAAUUCAAAAAGGAACAAUCAAAACAUAAAAAUAAAAGAUAAUAUAAAAAGGUCAGCUAGCCAGCUGACCCAGCGAGCACAGUGCGGCCUAGCACGACGUGCAGGUGUAGCCGAACCAGCCCCACCGACCCAACUUAACAUACCCGAUGGGGCACACCCGCGUUUUAACAGGGACAUCGAAUCAAGAUCCGACAACCAACACACCACCAACAAUUCUCUCUCUAUCUCCCCCUCUCUCUCUCUGCCAUUGCCACGCGGGACUCACCCGUCAGCUCGUCCAUAGCCUCCCGUCCGAAAAGCUCGCGCCCACAACCCAAAUGCACGUCUGCGCACUCGCCCACAUUCACCACGAUCCCAUGCGUACCCAUGAUCGAGACCUUGCCCUUUAAACCCCCCUCGCAACCCCACGUCAUUUGCCCCAAACUCCGCCGCCUAUCGCCGCAAGGCUGCACCACCGUGGACCCACCUCAUCUGCCUCUGUCACCGCCACCACAUGCCAAAUUCCGGUGUGCAUGAGACACCACAGGCCACGUUGUCCCCAUCACCAUACCCCACGUGCCAGUGCGCACCUCCCUGAUUGCUUAUAUCUGCUUUGGUGUUUCACCGAAGAGGAGAGGAUGAUGCAUCACAACAAAGGUAAGUAUUUCCCCUCAGUUAUGAAACCAAGGUUAUCAAUCCAGUAGGAGAACCAAGCAACACUAUGUAAACAACACCUGCACACAAACAACAAAAACUUGCAACCCAACGCAUAAGAGGGGUUGUCAAUCCCUCCACGGUAUUGAGAUAGAUUAAAUUGUAUAGGUUUUGGUAAAUAGAUCUAGCAAGAACACAAAAUAAAAUAAAGAAAUAAAAAUUGCAGCAAGGUAUUUUUGGUUUAAUAUGAUAGGAAAAUAGACCCGGGGGCCAUAGUUUUCACUAGAGGCUUCUCUCAAGAAAAUAGCAUACAGUGGGUAAACAAAUUACUAUUGGGCAAUUGAUAGAAAAGUGAAUAAUCAUGACGAUAUCCAAGGCAAUGAUCAUGUAUAUAGGCAUCACGUCCAAGAUUAGUAGACCGACUCCUGCCUGCAUCUACUACUAUUACUCCACACAUCGACUGCUAUCCAGCAUGCAUCUAGUGUAUUAAGUUCAUGGAAAAACAGAGUAAUGCAAUAAGAACGAUGACAUGAUGUAGACAAGAUAAACUCACAUAUGAAUAAACUCCAUCUUGUUACCCUUAAUAGCAACGAUACAUGCGUGUCAUGUCUCUUUCUAUCACUAAGAUUGAGCACCGCAAGAUCAAACCCAUCAAAAAACACCUCUUUCCAUGGCAAGAAAAAUCAAUCUAGUUGGCCAAACCAAACCAAAAUUUUGGAGAAGAAAUACGAGGCUAUAACAAUCAUGCAUAUAAGAGUUCAACAAAGACUCAAAUAAUAUUCAUGGACACAACUGAUCAUAAACCCACAAUUCAUCGGAUCCCAACAAAUACACCGCAAAAAAAA